GAUGAACGCUGGCGGCGUGCCUAAUACAUGCAAGUCGAGCGAACAGACGAGGAGCUUGCUCCUCUGACGUUAGCGGCGGACGGGUGAGUAACACGUGGAUAACCUACCUAUAAGACUGGGAUAACUUCGGGAAACCGGAGCUAAUACCGGAUAACAUGUUGAACCGCAUGGUUCAACAGUGAAAGACGGUUUUGCUGUCACUUAUAGAUGGAUCCGCGUCGCAUUAGCUAGUUGGUAAGGUAACGGCUUACCAAGGCAACGAUGCGUAGCCGACCUGAGAGGGUGAUCGGCCACCCGGGAACUGAGACACGGUCCAGACUCCUACGGGAGGCAGCAGUAGGGAAUCUUCCGCAAUGGGCGAAAGCCUGACGGAGCAACGCCGCGUGAGUGAAGAAGGUCUUCGGAUCGUAAAACUCUGUUAUUAGGGAAGAACAAAUGUGUAAGUAACUAUGCACGUCUUGACGGUACCUAAUCAGAAAGCCACGGCUAACUACGUG
Molecule: ribosomal RNA, 497 nt
Filed under: uncultured bacterium
Lineage: Bacteria
Description: partial 16S ribosomal RNA
Rfam family: Bacterial small subunit ribosomal RNA
Source: RNAcentral